GGCGAGAUGGCCGAGCGGUCUAAGGCGCUGUGUUAAGGUUACUUGAAUAGUAAUUCCGCAGUCUUCGGACGUGGGUUCGAAUCCCACUCUCGUCA
This is a transfer RNA of 95 nucleotides. It matches the Rfam family "tRNA". From Rfam's summary of the family: Transfer RNA (tRNA) molecules are approximately 80 nucleotides in length. Their secondary structure includes four short double-helical elements and three loops (D, anti-codon, and T loops). The record is from Rfam.